Molecule: ribosomal RNA, 238 nt
Filed under: uncultured bacterium
Lineage: Bacteria
Description: partial 16S ribosomal RNA
Rfam family: Bacterial small subunit ribosomal RNA
Source: RNAcentral
CGGAACGGGUGAGUAACGCGUGAGGAACCUGCCUCAAAGAGGGGGACAACAGUUGGAAACGACUGCUAAUACCGCAUAAGCCCACGGUGCCGCAUGGCACAGAGGGAAAAGGAGCAAUCCGCUUUGAGAUGGCCUCGCGUCCGAUUAGCUAGUUGGUGAGGUAACGGCCCACCAAGGCGACGAUCGGUAGCCGGACUGAGAGGUUGAACGGCCACAUUGGGACUGAGACACGGCCCAA